This 282-nucleotide ribosomal RNA is filed under the name uncultured bacterium. RNAcentral describes it as "partial 16S ribosomal RNA". It matches the Rfam family "Bacterial small subunit ribosomal RNA", at positions 123 to 406 of the family's 1533-position model. The record is from RNAcentral.
AAUCUGCCCUGGACUCUGGGAUAAGCGUUGGAAACGACGUCUAAUACCGGAUACGCGACGCGAAGGCAUCUUCAGCGUCGGGAAAGAACUUUGGUCCAGGAUGAGCUCGCGGCCUAUCAGCUAGUUGGUGAGGUAACGGCCCACCAAGGCGACGACGGGUAGCCGGCCUGAGAGGGUGACCGGCCACACUGGGACUGAGACACGGCCCAGACUCCUACGGGAGGCAGCAGUGGGGAAUAUUGCACAAUGGGCGCAAGCCUGAUGCAGCAACGCCGCGUGAGG